UGGUAGUNCACGCCGUAAACGAUGAGUGCUAGGUGUUAGGCCCUUUCCGGGGCUUAGUGCCGGAGCUAACGCAAUAAGCANUCCGCCUGGGGAGUACGACCGCAAGGUUGAAACUCAAAGGAAUUGACGGGGGCCCGCACAAGCGGUGGAGCAUGUGGUUUAAUUCGAAGCAACGCGAAGAACCUUACCAGGUCUUGACAUCCCGAUGCUAUUCUUAGAGAUAGGAAGUUACUUCGGUACAUCGGAGACAGGUGGUGCAUGGUUGUCGUCAGCUCAUGUCGUGAGAUGUUGGGUUAANNNNNNCAACGAGCGCAACCCUUAUUGUUAGUUGCCAUCAUUAAGUUGGGCACUCUAGCGAGACUGCCGGUAAUAAACCGGAGGAAGGUGGGGAUGACGUCAAAUCAUCAUGCCCCUUAUGACCUGGGCUACACACGUGCUACAAUGGUCGGUACAACGAGUUGCGAGCCGGUGACGGCAAGCUAAUCUCUGAAAGCCGAUCUCAGUUCGGAUUGGAGGCUGCAACUCGCCUCCAUGAAGUCGGAAUCGCUAGUAAUCGCGGAUCAGCACGCCGCGGUGAAUACGUUCCCGGGCCUNGU
This 596-nucleotide ribosomal RNA is filed under the name uncultured bacterium. RNAcentral describes it as "bacterial SSU rRNA". It matches the Rfam family "Bacterial small subunit ribosomal RNA", at positions 788 to 1384 of the family's 1533-position model. The record is from RNAcentral.